Long non-coding RNA from Siniperca chuatsi (mandarin fish), 898 nucleotides. RefSeq lists it as uncharacterized. Lineage: Eukaryota; Metazoa; Chordata; Actinopteri; Centrarchiformes; Sinipercidae. The transcript is spliced from 2 exons. The record is from RefSeq and is a predicted model, not a curated record.
CCUGCUUGCAGGCCGUGUUAUUUGGAUACAUUGCAGGGGCACAAACAACUCGAGUGUCUUUGCGACCACACGCUCCGCCUCUCAGUCAAUCCAGACAAAUUCUACGAGUUGUGCUGAAGCUUUUAAGCUGUAAUUGAGCACAGGAUGGCCAGGAAAACCAAAGCCAGCUCUGCACAGACCUGCGUUUUUAUAGCUGCUAUAGUAUUCUGCUGCGCUUUUUUUUCCUCCCCAGCCAGACAGACACCACAAAACUGGCCAAGCGUGAUAGGAAGUCGCCACCUACACGGACUCAAAGCCAGCAGCUGAGGGUUUUCAACGACAUAGAAACAUGUCAUGUCUGUACACAAGGUGACAGAAAUGUAGGCCGACAGCGAUGGCGACGACAGAGGGGCAGGGCGGACCACACAGGGGCCAUGCAAGGAAACUGACCAACUCCACGGUCAACGGGAGCACCUCUGGCUGACCAGCGGAGACGCACAAUGCUGGAUUAGCCUGCAGAGGGUAUCCUGGGAAACGAGGCGUCAGCAGGAGCGGGCCUGGACAAAAGGACAAACUGGACUUCAAUAAAUGAAAUUUUACAAAGGAAAAAAAUAGAGGGGGAAAACAAACAAAGAAAUAAGUCGCAAUUCAGUGUAGUGAUAGGGAUUCAAAUCUUUAAGUAACUCAAUGUACAAACUAGGUUAGUGCGUCAGAAAAACCCUCGUGUCAUAAUUGCCACUUGCUAUUGAUGGCUUGGGGAUUGUAGAACAAAAGAAAAAAAAAACAGUCAGAGCUUAAAGUGAAUUUCUACUUUCAUUCCAGUCUUCGAAAUGUGUGCGCAUGCUCAAAAAAAAUUUGAGCAUAAAUUUCUAAUACCUUUAAUAAAAGAAAAAACUCGGAUUGAGCCGGGUGAAUAGUA